Molecule: ribosomal RNA, 492 nt
Filed under: uncultured bacterium
Lineage: Bacteria
Description: partial 16S ribosomal RNA
Rfam family: Bacterial small subunit ribosomal RNA
Source: RNAcentral
AGUGAACGCUGGCGGUAGGCCUAACACAUGCAAGUCGAACGGCAGCACAGUAAGAGCUUGCUCUUACGGGUGGCGAGUGGCGGACGGGUGAGGAAUACAUCGGAAUCUACUUUUUCGUGGGGGAUAACGUCGGGAAACUUACGCUAAUACCGCAUACGACCUACGGGUGAAAGCAGGGGAUCUUCGGACCUUGCGCGAUUGAAUGAGCCGAUGUCGGAUUAGCUAGUUGGCGGGGUAAAGGCCCACCAAGGCGACGAUCCGUAGCUGGUCUGAGAGGAUGAUCAGCCACACUGGAACUGAGACACGGUCCAGACUCCUACGGGAGGCAGCAGUGGGGAAUAUUGGACAAUGGGCGCAAGCCUGAUCCAGCCAUACCGCGUGGGUGAAGAAGGCCUUCGGGUUGUAAAGCCCUUUUGUUGGGAAAGAAAAGCAGCAGGUUAAUACCCCGCUGUUCUGACGGUACCCAAAGAAUAAGCACCGGCUAACUUCGUG